UAGGGAAUCUUCCACAAUGGACGCAAGUCUGAUGGAGCAACGCCGCGUGAGUGAAGAAGGUUUUCGUAUCGUAAAGCUCUGUUGUUGGUGAAGAAGGAUAGAGGUAGUAACUGGCCUUUAUUUGACGGUAAUCAACCAGAAAGUCACGGCUAACUACGUGCCAGCAGCCGCGGUAAUACGUAGGUGGCAAGCGUUGUCCGGAUUUAUUGGGCGUAAAGCGAGCGCAGGCGGAAGAAUAAGUCUGAUGUGAAAGCCCUCGGCUUAACCGAGGAACUGCAUCGGAAACUGUUUUUCUUGAGUGCAGAGGAGGAGAGUGGAAUUCCAUGUGUAGCGGUGGAAUGCGUAGAUAUAUGGAAGAACACCAGUGGCGAAGGCGACUCUCUGGUCUGCAACUGACGCUGAGGCUCGAAAGCAUGGGUAGCGAACAGG
Molecule: ribosomal RNA, 429 nt
Filed under: bacterium
Lineage: Bacteria
Description: partial 16S ribosomal RNA
Rfam family: Bacterial small subunit ribosomal RNA
Source: RNAcentral